This 843-nucleotide long non-coding RNA is filed under the name Homo sapiens (human). RNAcentral's name for it is "MIR7-3 host gene". Lineage: Eukaryota; Metazoa; Chordata; Mammalia; Primates; Hominidae. The record is from RNAcentral.
ACGGGACACCUGCAUCUGCCAACAAGACUGGAAGCAGAAAGGGACAGAGACGGCGAAGUUUGACGGUCUGGAAAGCAGAGACCAGCAGGGCUGACUGCUUGGGAGCACCAAAUAUCCGGACAGCGCCUCUCGGGAGGUCCGAGAAGAGAACCGCGAUCUGUUUCAGCACCGGGGCUCAGGACAGUUCCCAGCGGGCUCCGUUUCGUCUCCAGAACCCUGGACAGCUCCUCCAGAGACGGGGUUUCACCAUGUUGGCCAGGCUGGUCUCAAACUCUUGACCUCUUCAUCCGUCCACCUCAGCCUCCCAAAGUGCUAGGAUUACAGGCGUGAGUCACUGCGCCUGGCCCAAGUCCGGAAUUUUCAACAGGACAUGGGUGUUACUGUGCCCAUGUGACAUUUGGGGAACCCAAGGCCCUGAGAAAGGCAGAAAAAUAACCCACGCAGGGACUCUCAGCCCACAAGUGAAGCUCUUGGAAUGCACUCCCUCCACCUCCAACCAGAGCUCCCCACAACUGACCCUGCCUUCUUCUGCAAGCUCCAUUUCAUCAAGGGAAACGAUCCUUAUUGCCUCACCAUUUCCCACGUGAAGUCUGUAUUGACAUUCUCAUAGACCUGGGAUAUUGUGUCUGCAGCACAUAGUCCAAUUAUUUUCAUGUUAUCUACUGACAGGUCUAUUUGUCUCCCUGUUACACUGUGAGCUCCGUGAGGGCAGAAACAAUGUUAGUAUUUUCACUGCUGUGUCCCCAGCGCCUGGUCCGGGGCCCGGCACACAGCAGGCAUAUAAUAAGCAUGUGUUGAAUCAAUAAAGGCAUCAAAGAAUAAACCAAUACAUCAAUCAAUAAA